RNAcentral lists this ribosomal RNA (620 nucleotides) under Bathysciotes khevenhuelleri khevenhuelleri. RNAcentral describes it as "partial 16S ribosomal RNA". It matches the Rfam family "Bacterial large subunit ribosomal RNA", at positions 1825 to 2758 of the family's 2925-position model. The record is from RNAcentral. Lineage: Eukaryota; Metazoa; Arthropoda; Insecta; Coleoptera; Leiodidae.
GUCUUAUUGAAUAUAAUUUUAAGUCUAAUCUGCCCAAUGAUUAUUUAAAUGGCUGCAGUAUUUUGACUGUACAAAGGUAGCAUAGUAAUUAGUUUCUUAAUUAGGAACUGGAAUGAAUGAUUGAACGAGAUAAUACCUGUCUUAUUAUGAAUUAUAGAAUUUUAUUUUUAAGUUAAAAAGCUUAAAUUUAUUUAAAAGACGAGAAGACCCUAUAGAAUUUUAUAUUAUUAAUAUAUUUAAAUAUUGGUGAGAAAAUUUUAAAUUUUAUUAUAUAUAUUUAGUUGGGGUGACUGGGAAAUUAAAGAAACUUUUCUUGAUUAAUAACAUUUAUUUAUGCUUUUAUGAUCCAAUUUUUUUGAUUAUAAGAUUAAAUUACCUUAGGGAUAACAGCGUAAUUUUUUUGGAGAGUUCUUAUCGAUAAAAGAGAUUGCGACCUCGAUGUUGGAUUAAAGUUAAUUUUUAAUGAAGAAGUUAAAAUAUUAGGUCUGUUCGACCUUUAAAACUUUACAUGAUCUGAGUUUAAACCGGCGUGAGCCAGGUUGGAUUCUAUCUUUAAAUAAUUUAUAUAUUUUAGUACGAAAGGACCAAAUAUAUAUUAUAGUAAUUUUAAUUGAAUAAUA